ACGAAGGGGGCGAGCGUUGUUCGGAAUCGCUGGGCGUAAAGGGCGCGUAGGCGGCCCUCCUUGUCGCGUGUGAAAGCCCCGGGCUCAACCUGGGAACGGCGCGCGAAACGGGGGGGCUGGAGUUCGGGAGAGGAGAGUGGAAUUCCCAGUGUAGAGGUGAAAUUCGUAGAUAUUGGGAAGAACACCGGUGGCGAAGGCGGCUCUCUGGGACGGUACUGACGCUGAGACGCGAAAGCGUGGGGAGCGAACAGGA
RNAcentral lists this ribosomal RNA (253 nucleotides) under uncultured prokaryote. Its description in RNAcentral is "partial 16S ribosomal RNA". It matches the Rfam family "Bacterial small subunit ribosomal RNA", at positions 525 to 777 of the family's 1533-position model. The record is from RNAcentral.